Molecule: long non-coding RNA, 1325 nt
Filed under: Amazona collaria (yellow-billed parrot)
Lineage: Eukaryota; Metazoa; Chordata; Aves; Psittaciformes; Psittacidae
Description: lncRNA (ENSACOG00000003099.1)
Source: RNAcentral
CGGGCAGCGAGGAGGCCCCGAGCGGGACACGGAGGGAGCAGCGGAGGUGGCUGCCGGGUGAGUGAGGAGCGAGUGGGUGCCGCGGUUGGGCUUUGAGGAGGAAAGAGGCAGAAGCGGAAGGUUUGAGGUCCGGAAGAGCCGCGGGGGUCACUGCUGUGCGGGUAAACUGAGGCACGGUGCGGCCCUGGCGCAGCGCGGGGGGGUCAGUUUGCGGCUGGAGCAGCCUGGGAAGGGAUAAUCCCCAUGGAUCCUGUGCUCAGCUCCGGGCCCCUCGCUGUGAGAGGGACAUUGAGGCGCUGGAGCGGGGCCAGUGAUGGGCAGUGAGGCUGGAGCACAAGUGAUGGGGAAGGGCUGAGGGAUCUGGGGGCUCAGGUGGAGAAGGGAAGGCUCGGGGGGACCUGAUUGCUCCCUACAACUGCCUGAGAGGAGGAUGGAGCCAGGAGGGUGCUCUGCUCCCAAGGGAUGGGAUGAGAGGAAACGGCCUCAGCUGCACCGGGGCAGGUUCAGAUGGAGCUGAGGAACAAUUCCUGCCCCAAAGGAUGCUCAGCACUGGGGCAGGGUUGGGCUGGAUGAGCUUAAAGCUCUUUUCCAACCUCUUUGAUUCCAUGAUUUUUAUCCCUGCUUUCUGUGGUCCACAUUUCCAGGCCUCGGCCCUGGAAGGUUCCUAUCCCCUCUAUUAUAGGGUGGUGGUGGCUGCUCCUCCGCUUGCAUGGGGUGCUGUCCGUGGGCUCUGCACAGGCUGUUUGCUGCUCUGGAGGCAGCUUCAGGCUGACAAAUGAAAUGGGUGCGUUGGCAUCCUCCAGCACCAGAAAUAACCUGCUUGCACCUAUCCUGCUCACUGCAGUCUCUGCUUUCCAAGCAUGGAGAUAACAGAGGGACAGUACCGCGGGGAAGACUGGCCAAGCUACUGCAGCCACUUGGCCUGGCACCAUGGCAAAUACCCCUCAGGGAGGUUUGCACCCCAGAAGAGGGGACCCCUUGGGGUGAGUGGGGCAGCGCUGGACCCAUCCCGGAAGAAGAGCCAAGAGCCAAGAGUAGAAGAGGGAAGUUUAAUCCUCAGAGCACAUGGGUGACAGCAUCGGGCUGGCUGCACGUCCAGCCCCAUCCGCCGGGGCCCCCAAAGCCCCCCCCAAGGAAGGAAGAAUGACAGGAACGUGUUAACCUCCCCCCAGUGCCUUUGGUAAAGUGCGUGUGAGUGCUGCAGGCCCUAAUGCCCAUGGGGUCCCCAAAAUCCCACCUGGGAGGCCCAAAGCCCAGCAGGACCAUCGGGGCAGGGAGCGCACACUGCAGCGGGACCCCACCCCCAUCGGGGAGCUGAGUGCUAA